AGCAGCCGCGGUAAUUCCAGCUCCAAUGGCGUAUAUUAAAGUUGUUGCAGUUAAAAAGCUCGUAGUUGAAUUUCGGGAUUGACGUGAUGGUCGUGCCUUAAGGGGUAUGAACUGUCGCAGUUGAUUUCUCACCUUCUGGAGAAGCAUUGAUGUCCUUAAUUGGGUGUCAUGUGGAACCAGGACCUUUACCUUGAAAAAAAUUAGAGUGUUUAAAGCAGGCAUUUUGCUCGAAUACAUUAGCAUGGAAUAAUAGAAUAGGACGGCAUGGUUCUAUUUUGUUGGUUUCUAGGAUCACCGUAAUGAUUAAUAGGGAUAGUUGGGGGCAUUAGUAUUCAAUUGUCAGAGGUGAAAUUCUUGGAUUUAUUGAAGACUAACUACUGUGAAAGCAUUUUGCCAAGGAUGUUUUCAUUAAUCAAGAACGAAAGUUAGGGGAUCGAAGACGAUCAGAUACCGUCGUAGUCUUAACCAUAAACUAUGCCGACUAGGGAUCGGAUGAUGUUAAUUUUUUUCAAUGACUCAU
This 520-nucleotide ribosomal RNA is filed under the name uncultured Entrophospora. Its description in RNAcentral is "SSU rRNA". It matches the Rfam family "Eukaryotic small subunit ribosomal RNA", at positions 569 to 1079 of the family's 1831-position model. Lineage: Eukaryota; Fungi; Glomeromycota; Glomeromycetes; Entrophosporales; Entrophosporaceae. The record is from RNAcentral.